Long non-coding RNA from Dama dama (fallow deer), 3219 nucleotides. RefSeq lists it as uncharacterized. The transcript has 6 exons. The record is from RefSeq and is a predicted model, not a curated record. NCBI's taxonomy places the organism in Eukaryota, Metazoa, Chordata, Mammalia, Artiodactyla, Cervidae.
CCUCGCCCCUCGCGGGACCUCCCCGGAAUGGCGUCGUUAGCGCUAUAAGAGAGCUUGUGCAGACGACUCCGGCCUUUUACAUCCGGUAAGCGUCCGGUUUAGGGACGGGCUGUCGGUUGUGGUUGUUUUGUGAGGUAAAGUAACAAGGAACACGGCUUUUCGGUCUAGUUUAAGAUGCAGGCGAUGCAGCGGUCUUGUAGUAGUAGGCCGACGUUAGCUUUGAAAACGUCUAGGUUCAGAAGCUUGAGUGAAAUUUCAUGUUCGUUCGUUAGCGGGGCGGCCACGUGCAGCCCCGGGAGUUGAGUCGGAAGCCAGUCCCGCGUGCGUCGUGGGCCCUCCGGCAGAGGUUAAAUACCGCCGAUGACUCGGGUGAAAAAGGUCGUGCGUUGUACUGUCGGUGCCAUGUGGCCAUCUUGAAUCUGUUAACUCUGCCACUCUUGAAGAGCAACACGGCAUCCUGACGGUUUGAUCCAAGUGGAAGCUGAGCUAAUGGUUCCAGUGGAUGAUGGAAAGCAUAACGAGAUAUACCAAGAAAUCCAAAGUGAUGUGGGUGAAGUCUGAUUGAGCAUCCUGCAGGACACUGCUAAAUAACCUGGCAUCCAGACCCCAAGAAGAUGGUUAUUUUGAGGUUCUAGCCUGCCAUCUCGGUCUGCUGGCUCCCCGAUUAAGUCUCUUCCUUGCCCCAACACCUCAUUUUGGAUGCACGAGGCUGAACUCGGUAACAGUUAGAAUUCCACUAUGAAUGUUUACACUAGCACUGCAGUUUAAUUACAAGGAUGGCCCAUGAGAAACUGUUGAAGUGAAAUGAAGUCACUCGGUCGUGUCUGACUCUUUGCAAACCCAUGGACUGCAGCCCACCAUGCUCCUCCAUACAUGGAAUUUUCCAGGACUUCCCUGGUGGCUCAGUGGUAAAGAAUUCACCUACCAAUCCAGGAGACAGGGGUUCAACCCCUAGUCCAGGAAGAUGGAAGAUCCCACAUGCUGCAGGGCAGCUAAGCCCAUGCACCUGGAGCCCCAGAGCCACAGUCAUGAAGCCCACUCUAGAGCCUGUGCUCUGCAACAAGAGAAGCCAGCACGGUGAGAAGCCCGCACACCUCUACUAGAGAGCAGGCCUGCUCACUGCAGCGAGAGAAAAGCCACACAGCAGCAGAGCCCAAGGUGGGCCUCCGACAACACUUCAAAAUGUAAAGUGGUUUUCGUAACCAUGUCAACUCAGAAACCUGAACAAUGCAACAAAGAUGAUCACCUACUAGUGAUCGAUGAAACUAACAAUUUCCUGCGAUUCCUUGAAAUUCUCCAUUUUGAACAUUAAAUCAUCACAUAUCUUUAAAGUACAGAAGGCUUUUCAUAUAUUGUGCUUAGACUUCUUGUGGGUUCUACUUCAAACUUUGAAUUUAGGAUUAUUUCACAUCCUGAAACUGUAAAAAUUAACAGUCAUGAAGAAUCAGAUAUUUAAAUAACUUAUUUCUACUUUCUGUGUAUUGAUACUGUUGUAUUAUAAAAUUCAAUGUCUCAUUAAUAUCCAGGUUUUUAAAGAAAAAUCCCAAGUGAUUAACUGUCACUGCAUCCUUGAAAGUGCUGCUGAAAGGUUGACUGUAUCCCUGGAGCGGAAUUUAAGAAAUUAAUCUCAAGCUUCACUGUUCAGCUCAGGAGGCAGUGGCCACAUGUGCUAUCAGAGCACUUGAAAUGUGGAUGGUCCAAAAUGAGAUGUGAAGUGGAUGAAACUGGAGCCUAUUAUACAGAAUGAAGUAAGUCAGAGAGAGAAACACCAGUACAGUAUACUAAUGCAUAUAUAUGGAAUUUAGAAACAUGGUAACGAUGACCCUAUACACAAGGCAGCAAAAGAGACACAGAUGUAAAGAACAGACUUUUGGACUCUGUGGGAGAAGGUGAGGGUGGGAUGAUUUGAGAGAAUAGCAUUGAAACAUGUAUAUUACCGUGUGUGAAAUAGGUGACCAGUGCAAGUUCAAUGCAUGAAGCAAGGUGCUCAAAGCCCGUGCUCUGGGACCACCCACAGGGAUGGAGUGGGGAGGGAGGUGGGAGGGGGGUUUAGGAUGGGGGACACGUGUGCACCGUGGCUGAUUCAUGUCAGUAUAUGGCAAAAACCAUCACAAUAUUGUAAUUAGCGUCCAAUUAAAUAAUUUUUUAAAAAAGAAAUAUAGUGGUGAAUAUUUACUAUAAAAAAAGUACAAAAUGUGCACAGGAUUUCAAACAUUUAGUAUGAAAAAGAAUAUGAAAUAUAUUGUUUCUAUAGAUAAUAGGAAUAUAAAAUAUCUCAAUUUUUUAUAUAUUUUGGAUAUACUAAGUUAUAUGAAAUAUAUCAUUAAAAUUAACUUCACCCACUUAGUUUUUUAAUCUUUUAAAGUGGCUACUGGAAAAUUUAAAGUUACAUGUAUGAUUUAUAUUUGUGGCUCACAUUAUAUUCCUACUAGAUAACACUGGUCUAGAGAAAUAGUCUGGCAUAAAGUAGGCAUCCUAUUUUGUUUUUUUAAUGCAGUCUCUUAUGUUGCUUAUAACCCUUAAGCUCCAGUUAUGAGACAUUCCCUAUGUAUGUCAACUUUUUAUAUUAAAGAUAAUUACAUUACUGUUCAACCUAAAAACUUAUUUUACUGCAACAAUAUUUUCUGUUCUUCAAAAGAGGGCUUUGACACUUAGCUAAAAUAACCCUUGCAUCUAAAACCUACAUAAAUAUAUCCUACAUUAUCUAAAAAUUUAGCCAGUGAACAAAGAAACAGGACAUUAUUACAUGGAAAUUUAUUUUGUAAAUAUCCCAGUCUUAGUCUUGGACAGUCUUGCCUUCAUGUGUCACUUCUUGCCUGAAUUACUGCAACAGUCUGCUAAAUGGCAUCACUACUUCAAGUUUUAACUUUCAAGCCAUCCUUCACACUGCAGCCAGAGCGAAACAGAAAUAGCCAGAUAGAAAUAUCUGGUAAUAUAACUGCUCUUCUGGAUACCCUUCAAGGGGUCCCAACUGUGUCUACAUGAUAAAGUUCAAACUUCUUCAGUGAUACACAAAUCCAUCCAAGAACAGCCCUUGUCCACCACUCUAAUACAGCUUCUGUGCCACAGUCGUUUUAGUGGCUUGAAGAGGUGUCUGACAAACCUGUCUUUAUUCAAACUAUUUGCAAUAUCAUUCCCCCCUCCUUCACCCUAAGAUGGCAAAAACUGAUUUUAACUUUUAAGUCUCAAGAUCUAGGACACUCUUCCUGCCCUCCCAGA